UGCCUUCCGCCAGAUAAGAAAUGAAAAACGUGACACACUUUUGGAUGUGAAGGCCAUUGAAUGUUUAGCAUGGUGUGAGGUAGAUAUUAAUGUUCACCAAUUCUUUACUGGAUACUUGGACGGUCGGUUUGACACAAAGAUGUGGCCUCAGAUACUGAAAUUGAAAGACUGGCCUCCAUCUACUAUGUUUGAUGAACUUAUGCCACGACAUGGUGCUGAAUUUACAUUUUGUUUGCCCUUUAAGGAGUACACACAUCCUCAUAAAGGACCUUUGAACCUUGCUGUCCGAUUACCUAAGAAGUCUUUAAAGCCAGAUAUGGGGCCAAAGACAUAUAUUGCUUAUGGUUGUGCUCAAGAGCUUGGACGUGGAGAUUCUGUUACCAAGCUUCAUUGUGACAUGUCUGAUGCAGUGAAUGUUUUAACACAUACAGCUGAAGUGACCCUUGGUCGUACACAACUUGCUACUAUAGAACAAUUGAAAAAAUUACACAGAGAGCAAGACCAAAGAGAAAUUUUUGGAAACAAUCAGGUUGUAGAGGAGGAUAUUGAUGGCAAAAUGCACGGUAGUUUUUGUGGCAGGUUUNNNNNNNNNNNNNCUGAUAAGGAAACUGGGGAAGUUGACAACCAAACUGAGGAUUCUCAGUUUACUGAUUGUGCCUUUUCAAGUAAAUCAGAGUUGAAAAUUAGCAAGCAGGCAGAAGUAUUUCAAGAUAAAUUAGAGCUGAAAUGUUGCGAGGCAGAUGCUGUUCAAGGUAGAGGCACUGAGAAUAGUGGGCCAUCAAGUUCUGGAAAUGUGUCAUUGCGGUCAGAUGAGGGAGGUGCUGUUUGGGACAUUUUCCGA
This 841-nucleotide unclassified non-coding RNA is filed under the name Hevea brasiliensis (rubber tree). The record is from RNAcentral. Lineage: Eukaryota; Viridiplantae; Streptophyta; Magnoliopsida; Malpighiales; Euphorbiaceae.